Molecule: ribosomal RNA, 468 nt
Filed under: uncultured bacterium
Lineage: Bacteria
Description: partial 16S ribosomal RNA
Rfam family: Bacterial small subunit ribosomal RNA
Source: RNAcentral
GACGAACGCUGGCGGCGUGCUUAACACAUGCAAGUCGAACGGAAAGGCCCUGCUUUUGUGGGGUGCUCGAGUGGCGAACGGGUGAGUAACACGUGAGUAACCUGCCCUUGACUUUGGGAUAACUUCAGGAAACUGGGGCUAAUACCGGAUAGGAGCUCCUGCUGCAUGGUGGGGGUUGGAAAGUUUCGGCGGUUGGGGAUGGACUCGCGGCUUAUCAGCUUGUUGGUGGGGUAGUGGCUUACCAAGGCUUUGACGGGUAGCCGGCCUGAGAGGGUGACCGGCCACAUUGGGACUGGGAUGCGGCCCAGACUCCUACGGGAGGCAGCAGUGGGGAAUAUUGCACAAUGGGCGGAAGCCUGAUGCAGCAACGCCGCGUGCGGGAUGACGGCCUUCGGGUUGUAAACCGCUUUCGCCUGUGACGAAGCGUGAGUGACGGUAAUGGGUAAAGAAGCACCGGCUAACUACGUG